Molecule: ribosomal RNA, 433 nt
Filed under: uncultured Clostridium sp.
Lineage: Bacteria; Bacillati; Bacillota; Clostridia; Eubacteriales; Clostridiaceae
Description: partial 16S ribosomal RNA
Rfam family: Bacterial small subunit ribosomal RNA
Source: RNAcentral
ACGGAAGGCAGCAGUGGGGAAUAUUGCACAAUGGGCGAAAGCCUGAUGCAGCGACGCCGCGUGAGUGAAGAAGUAUUUCGGUAUGUAAAGCUCUAUCAGCAGGGAAGAAAAUGACGGUACCGACUAAGAAGCCCCGGCUAACUACGUUCCAGCAGCCGCGGUAAUACGUAGGGGGCAAGCGUUAUCCGGAUUUACUGGGUGUACAGGGAGCGUAGACGGUAAUACAAGUCUGAAGUGUAAGCUCGAGGCUCAACUUCGGAAUUGCUUUGGAAACUGUGUUACUAGAGUGCAGGAGAGGCAAGUGGAAUUCCUAGUGUAGCGGUGAAAUGCGUAGAUAUUAGGAGGAACACCAGUGGCGAAGGCGGCUUGCUGGACUGUAACUGACGUUGAGGCUCGAAAGCGUGGGGAGCAAACAGGACUAGAUACCCUGGUA